Molecule: ribosomal RNA, 462 nt
Filed under: uncultured Bacillus sp.
Lineage: Bacteria; Bacillati; Bacillota; Bacilli; Caryophanales; Bacillaceae
Description: bacterial SSU rRNA
Rfam family: Bacterial small subunit ribosomal RNA
Source: RNAcentral
UCUAGAGAUUUGGCGGACGGGUGAGUAACACGUGGGCAACCUACCCUAUAGUUUGGGAUAACUCCGGGAAACCGGGGCUAAUACCGAAUAAUCUCUUUUACUUCAUGGUGAAAGACUGAAAGACGGUUUCGGCUGUCGCUAUAGGAUGGGCCCGCGGCGCAUUAGCUAGUUGGUGAGGUAACGGCUCACCAAGGCGACGAUGCGUAGCCGACCUGAGAGGGUGAUCGGCCACACUGGGACUGAGACACGGCCCAGACUCCUACGGGAGGCAGCAGUAGGGAAUCUUCCACAAUGGGCGAAAGCCUGAUGGAGCAACGCCGCGUGAGUGAAGAAGGUUUUCGGAUCGUAAAACUCUGUUGUAAGGGAAGAACAAGCACAGUAGUAACUGGCUGUACCUUGACGGUACCUUAUUAGAAAGCCACGGCUAACUACGUGCCAGCAGCCGCGGUAAUAAUCGUCGAC